UUGUGGAGGAGGACGCCGAAGGUGGGGCUAAUGACUGGGGUGAAGUCGUAACAAGGUAGCCGUACCGGAAGGUGCGGCUGGAUCACCUCCUAACAGGGAGACAACAAAAUGUUAAAUAUUAAUUUUGUCACCUUAGGUCGAUCGGUAUCUCAGGUUCUUAAUUACUUUAAGAAUUUCAUUUCCUAAGUUUUUUCUAGGUCACACCCAUUACUUUCCCUGGGCCAUUAGCUCAGGUGGUUAGAGCGCACCCCUGAUAAGGGGAGGUCCCUGGUUCAAGUCCAGGAUGGCCCAUAUCUCUAUGUUGGGGGUAUAGCUCAGUUGGUAGAGCGCCUGCUUUGCAAGCAGGAUGUCAGCAGUUCGAGUCCGCUUACCUCCACUGAUUACCACCUCUUCCAUAAAUUUCAAGAAGGGAAUAGUUAUGAGCGUUGAUUUACUUCUGAACGAAUCUAGCUUCCUAAUAAAUACAUUAAGAUGCUGGACUCAUUGAAUUUUAUUCAUUGUUUUCAGAGAACCUUGACAACUGCAUAGAUUAUUUUUAAAGACAAUAAGCAUCUUUAAUGAUGCAGAUUUAUUAUUUGUGCUAAUGCAUUAAUAACAAUUCUAUUGAGCUGAUGCUUCAAUUAUUUGAAGUUAUUGGUCAAGCUACAA
This 648-nucleotide unclassified non-coding RNA is filed under the name uncultured Prochlorococcus sp. Its description in RNAcentral is "partial 16S-23S ribosomal RNA intergenic spacer; may also contain 16S ribosomal RNA and 23S ribosomal RNA". The stretch from base 1 to 93 matches the Rfam family "Bacterial small subunit ribosomal RNA", at positions 1441 to 1533 of the family's 1533-position model. Lineage: Bacteria; Bacillati; Cyanobacteriota; Cyanophyceae; Synechococcales; Prochlorococcaceae. The record is from RNAcentral.